Molecule: long non-coding RNA, 1322 nt
Organism: Lathyrus oleraceus (garden pea)
Lineage: Eukaryota; Viridiplantae; Streptophyta; Magnoliopsida; Fabales; Fabaceae
Exons: 2
Source: RefSeq, a predicted model, not a curated record
CCUGACUUGGUCUCAAAUGAUCACAACCAAGAGGAACGCGGGUACACGGUAAUAGGAUGGGGGCUCGUACACAAGACCAUUGAAGGAAGGUAACAGAACCGGUGACAAGUGUCCCAAUGGUGGAGACACUUGUCACCACCGCACGACCAACAACCAUCAUUAAGGCCACAACAAGAGACCAAACUAAAACAUUUCUUCGAAUGUUUUCUCUCUCUUCUCGUGAAAACAUAAACUUGCUCUGCAAAUCCGAUCAUCACCUCCGAUUGCAACCUACCAGAGAAGACGGUGGUUGCCGGCCAACGGCGACAGCGCCACCUUCUUCUCCGGCGAACCACCACUCAAAAACCUAAACCUCAAACACUAACCCUGCUUAAUUCAGGCUCCUGAUUAUGAAUUCGGCCAUAAAAACACCAAAAUUCCAACCAAAACCCCAAAUCGGAAGCCCUAACAUAGAAAACCUAAAUAGAACUCUCCUCAAACAAACAAAACAAACACAAAAACAUUUAUAAAUAACAUUCAAAGGCAAACCCUAAAUUUGCAAUUAAAGCUACAAUAACAGCGAUUCGGCGCAGUUAGAUUGGGGUUUAUAGUCAGUUCAUCAAGGUGAGCAAGAUGAUGCGAAGAUUUUAAGCAAAGAAAGAAAAAUGAUAUACUUGAUCAGAGUCAAGUCGUCGGCGACGUCUUCUCCGCCACGUUUGAGAUGAGUCUUUUUCUAAUUUUAAUUUCUCUCUUUCUUCUCAUUUUCUCUAUUUUUCUUUGAAUGCUGUUGAUUGUUGUGUUUUGAGUUUGAGCUCGUCUAGGUUAGAGUUUCAGUGUGAAACUCUAGCUUAGACUUUAGGGAUUUUAAGCUCUAAGUAAAUGGUUCUUGGGUGAAUUUUGACAGAAUAACGGUGAGAGAUCUCAUGCAAUGAUUGGGUCGCUCUCUUUUAUAGAGGGGCUUAUGGAUUUCAAAAAUUGUCUGAAUGAUUCACAAACUCCAGCUGUCAUUCCGUUAGAGAGAUUUUUUGUUAGAUACUGCGGGGACCGAAUUCUGUGUAUCCCUGAUUUUGUGGGAUCAAAUUGUGAGUGGAGGUCAUAAUGGAACAUCAAGUGAGGAACAAGGCUUGAUAUGGGAGUUUUAGCAAAAUGGAGUUUCAAUCGAGUAGACGAAAUUCUGAAGUUUAGGGAUGAAAUGACGUUAUAAUGAGCGAAACGUCUCCAAAUGUACCAUAAUUACACUCACACGCCUAAUGAGAGGCUUCUUUAGGAUUUUAUUUAGUUUUCCAAGUACUCAUUCAAUGUAUUUUUGAAAAGCAAUUUUGAAAACUAAAGUUUCCCCCAAA